GGGUCCUUGAAAUUCACAAGGCCUUUACUCAAGCUAGUCACUUACCUCGCCUGCCUGCGCUCAGGGGUGGGCGGAGCCUCCCGACCCACGUUGCUCCCCCGUGUUCCCAGCCACCUUGCAGCGCAGACCGUGAAGAGACUCAAAAGGGAACUUCCGGGGAGAGGUCCCAACAGAAGGGUCUGUCGCUGAAACCGAGCUCAAAUUACUGGGCUCAGAGGAAAGAACCAUAGGCUCUGCUGGCUGGAAGGAACCCCAGAGGUUCAUCGAUGGCAAGCUCCAGUCUCUAAAUUCAGCUCACUCCAGAAAUAACAGCCUCUACCCACUCCCAAGCGUGGGAAGAGAUCAGGAACAGCAUUUCUGAAACUUCAAGGUACAUACGAAUCUCCCAGGGAUCUUGUCAAACAGAUCCUGAGUCCGUAGGUCUGUCGGGGCAAGGGGGAGGUGGGGUGGGGGUUCUGCCUCUCUAACAAUCUCCCAGGUGAUGCACGGAUGCUGGUGGCUCCACAGAAACACUG
RNAcentral lists this long non-coding RNA (515 nucleotides) under Felis catus (domestic cat). Its description in RNAcentral is "lncRNA (ENSFCAG00000044368.2)". Lineage: Eukaryota; Metazoa; Chordata; Mammalia; Carnivora; Felidae. The record is from RNAcentral.